GAGGUACUCUCAGGUUGCCGCUGGAUCUGACUCUUAAUCAGUAGGUUCGGGGUUCGAUUCCCCGGCGGUUCACCA
This 75-nucleotide transfer RNA is filed under the name Acidobacteriota bacterium. RNAcentral describes it as "Acidobacteria bacterium tRNA-Lys". The record is from RNAcentral. Lineage: Bacteria; Pseudomonadati; Acidobacteriota.